This 73-nucleotide transfer RNA is filed under the name Bacteroidota bacterium. RNAcentral describes it as "tRNA-Trp". It matches the Rfam family "tRNA". Rfam says of the family: Transfer RNA (tRNA) molecules are approximately 80 nucleotides in length. The record is from RNAcentral. RNAcentral also lists the same sequence under 2 other names. Lineage: Bacteria; Pseudomonadati; Bacteroidota.
ACGGGUGUAGCUCAGUUGGUAGAGCACCGGUCUCCAAAACCGGGUGUCGGGAGUUCGAGUCUCUCCACCCGUG